This 77-nucleotide transfer RNA is filed under the name Ruminococcus sp. RNAcentral describes it as "tRNA-Met". It matches the Rfam family "tRNA". From Rfam's summary of the family: Transfer RNA (tRNA) molecules are approximately 80 nucleotides in length. Their secondary structure includes four short double-helical elements and three loops (D, anti-codon, and T loops). RNAcentral also lists the same sequence under 7 other names. The record is from RNAcentral. Lineage: Bacteria; Bacillati; Bacillota; Clostridia; Eubacteriales; Oscillospiraceae.
CGCGGAGUGGAGCAGUCUGGUAGCUCGUCGGGCUCAUAACCCGAAGGUCGUUGGUUCAAAUCCUUCCUCCGCAACCA